AAAAGUUAAACCUACAGAGAAGGAUUAGCAUAAAUCUAGUAUGUAUUCAGGAAUGAGUUUACAAGCAGCCUUGGAAAACUUUGUCCUUUAGAGACCUUUGGUCUCUGAGGAAGUAGUAGUGGAAACGUUGGGCUCAAGAAACAAAAAGGAUGAAAACAAUAGUUCAAAACAGGCACAAGUUUUAUAUAUGACAUGAGGAAUAAAAUGUUUCAGGAUCACAAGAAGGAUGUCUCAGCUUUAAAAGGUGCUGCCUUCUAAAAUACAGAAG
Molecule: long non-coding RNA, 268 nt
Filed under: Struthio camelus australis
Lineage: Eukaryota; Metazoa; Chordata; Aves; Struthioniformes; Struthionidae
Description: lncRNA (ENSSCUG00000005472.1)
Source: RNAcentral